AAGACUUCGAUGGGUAGGGGUCCUGAGAGGGAGAUCCCCCACACUGGUACUGAGACACGGACCAGACUCCUACGGGAGGCAGCAGUGAGGAAUAUUGGUCAAUGGGCGCAAGCCUGAACCAGCCAUGCCGCGUGCAGGAUGACGGUCCUAUGGAUUGUAAACUGCUUUUGUACGAGAAGAAACAUCCCGACGUGUCGGGACUUGACGGUAUCGUAAGAAUAAGGAUCGGCUAACUCCGUGCCAGCAGCCGCGGUAAUACGGAGGAUCCAAGCGUUAUCCGGAAUCAUUGGGUUUAAAGGGUCCGUAGGCGGUCUUGUAAGUCAGUGGUGAAAGCCCGUCGCUCAACGACGGAACGGCCAUUGAUACUGCAGGACUUGAAUUACCAGGAAGUAACUAGAAUAUGUAGUGUAGCGGUGAAAUGCUUAGAGAUUACAUGGAAUACCAAUUGCGAAGGCAGGUUACUACUGGUUGAUUGACGCUGAUGGACGAAAGCGUGGGUAGCGAACAGGAUUAGAUACCCUGGUAGUCCACGCCGUAAACGAUGGAUACUAGCUGUUGGGGGCAACUUCAGUGGCUAAGCGAAAGUGAUAAGUAUCCCACCUGGGGAGUACGAACGCAAGUUUGAAACUCAAAGGAAUUGACGGGGGCCCGCACAAGCGGUGGAGCAUGUGGUUUAAUUCGAUGAUACGCGAGGAACC
This 698-nucleotide ribosomal RNA is filed under the name Flavobacterium sp. RNAcentral's name for it is "bacterial SSU rRNA". It matches the Rfam family "Bacterial small subunit ribosomal RNA", at positions 270 to 970 of the family's 1533-position model. Lineage: Bacteria; Pseudomonadati; Bacteroidota; Flavobacteriia; Flavobacteriales; Flavobacteriaceae. The record is from RNAcentral.